GACGAACCGUGCGAACGUUGUUCGGAUUCACUGGGCUUAAAGGGCGCGUAGGCGGGCGUUUGCGUCUGGGGUGAAAGCCCCCGGCCCAACCGGGGAAUUGCCUCAGAUACCAGACGCCUCGAGGGAGGUAGGGGCGCGCGGAACUUCCGGUGGAGCGGUGAAAUGCGUAGAUAUCGGAAGGAACGCCGGUGGCGAAAGCGGCGCGCUGGAUCUCUGCUGACGCUGAGGCGCGAAAGCCAGGGGAG
RNAcentral lists this ribosomal RNA (245 nucleotides) under uncultured bacterium. RNAcentral's name for it is "partial 16S ribosomal RNA". It matches the Rfam family "Bacterial small subunit ribosomal RNA", at positions 524 to 768 of the family's 1533-position model. The record is from RNAcentral.